RNAcentral lists this long non-coding RNA (2588 nucleotides) under Lactuca sativa (garden lettuce). RNAcentral's name for it is "long non-coding RNA (LSAT_LNC008832)". The record is from RNAcentral. Lineage: Eukaryota; Viridiplantae; Streptophyta; Magnoliopsida; Asterales; Asteraceae.
CAUGCCAAACACAAUAAAUACAACUUGUCUUUGUGGGAAUAUUUGUUUGCUCAACAUGGUAGUGAAAACAAUGGUGACACGGAACAUAAUAUUAACAAGUCAUUUGCUAAAAUGGUUUGGAACGUAUAAGCAUAAUAUGCAUAGCAAUUAGCAGCUAAGGCUUAUGGUAGGUUUUAUUUCUUUUACACAGAGAGAAAUAUAGCAUAAACACACAUCAUAUCAUCCAACAGUCAACGAUCCAACAACCCGCAGCAGCAAAGAGCUCUCAAACUGCACAAACCAAUACACAAUUCGGUCUUAUUUUAGCAAAAAAUGUGAUAUUCAUGUUAGACCUUCAUGUUAUUAGUUUUAAAUAGAAUUUACUAAAUUCCUCAAAUUCAUUUCAAACAGUAAACUAUACACUUGAUUUUAGACAUCUUAGAUAUUAGUGUACAUUUGCUUUUCUUUUUAUUCUAGAGAGUUGAAAUCCAAAUUCAAAUGCAGAAGAAAAUGGAACAUGUGUAAGUCAAGAGUAAAUUGCUCAACAUAUUAUGUGAAUGUCAUGGGUAGAAUAUUGGGAAUUUUUCUACUAUUGUAGCCAUGUAUAUAAUUAGAUUAUUAUGUCUAUUUAUUCGCAUUUAAUUAUCUUACCUAGAAUAGGCCAGUUAAAAUAGCUCAUCAACCAGAGUAAAUUAAUAAUUUGAUCCACCGUUAAAUAGGCUGGCUUUGAGUGAAUUAAUAAUCGAGUAAAUUACUGCAAUCGUCCCUAUGGUUUGGUUAAAAUUACAUGUUUGGUCUCUAACUUUUUUUUUUUGCACUCGAAUCGUUUUUGUGGUUUGAUUUUAUUGCGCUUUUCGUCCCUUACAUACAUAAAGUUAGAGACCAAACGUGCAAUUUUGACCAAACCAUAGGGAUGAAAAACGCAACAAAAUCAAAUCAUAGGGGCGAUCCGAAUGCAAAAAAGAAGUUAGAGACCAAACGUGUAAUUUUGACCAAACCAUAAAGACGAUUUCAGUAACUUACUCUUAAUAAUUUGAUCCUCCAACCCGUUUAAAUAAAUACUUCUAUUUUAUUUAUAUUUUAUACAAUAUUAAAUUUUAGUUUCUUAUAAUAUAACCAAAAUUCCUAAACCCUCAGCUUUCCCGGAGUCUCCAUUGGUUAAAAAACCUUCUACCUCCAUCUAUACAAUACUUCAGCUUCAAUUAAUAAGUUACUUCUAUUUUGAAACUAGUUUAAUUCUGAUUUCUAGUUUCGGCUUUUAGUUUUGACUUCCAAUUCAAGACUUAUUCACAACUUUGUAAUUUUGUAAUUUGCAUGUUAUUUAGAAUGUUGUUUGAACAAAUGAUUUGUGAUUGUAGUUGUGUAUCUUUAACCUUGAAGUCAUGAACAACUAUUUGGGUAACCUAUUAUAUAUUAUAGUCUAAUCAAUUUUUGUAUAAUAUGUAAACUUUGAAAAUAAAUUGGGUCAAACCAGGUCUAACGUGUUUAUCUAACAAGUUGGAAUGGAAAAUAAAAAUAAAUGAGUCAAGAGUCGACCCAUUAUCUAACUGUUGGGUUAGUUUGGGAAGUUUUCAACCUGUUUAUCUAAACCCAAUUGCUAACUGGAAUCCUAGUUGUGUACAUAUAUUAGAAGAAAAUGUAGAGAAGGUAUGUCUUGUAAAUUACAAAAUCUUGUGUAUUUUCUCUAAUUGCAAUGGGAAAUAAUCAUAUUCAAGAACAAGAUCAAGUUCAAUUCAAUUUUAUAUGUCCAGUUGAGAUCAACGACCAAUUUACCUGUGAAAAUACAAAAAUUGGCACCUCAAAGGUGUUUUUUUGUUUCCCUAUUAUUUUGUUAGAUCUGGUGUGCCUUUUCAAUCAGAUUACCUUUUCCAAGUCAGCAACCAAUAGUCGAAAAUGCUGUUUUUGGAUAUUUGGGAAAAGUGAAAAGUACAUAUUCAUAAAGAACAAACGACUUUGAAUGAAAAUGUAAUAUGGAAGGCGGGCUAAAAAAUAAAGAAUAAGAAAAAUCAAAAGGCACAUACCAGCCCCUUAGCACAGAAGAGCAACCAGGUCCAGAAUCAUAAUAAUAUUCAUGGCGGUGGGGGUAUGUAGGUGGAGGGAUGAAGUAACCUUGAUAACCGUGAGGAGGUGGAGGAUGCUGAUGGCGAUGUGCUGGUGGUGGCGGUGGGAGACCAAUAGGCGGAUGCCCCGGGCCCGGUGGAUGUGGUGAUCGAUGCCCUAGAAAGUAUAAACAUAUAGUCUGCAACUUAUUAACCAUAAAAAUCCCAAUUAAGAUAACUUAGUAAUACAUGUUAUUACUUGCCUGGAGGUGGAGGUGGAUGAUGAUGAUGAGGUGGAGGUGGAUGAUGAUGGUGGUGAUGAUGCCCACUCAUGGAUUUUCAGAUUCCAGUCAGUUGAAUUGAACUGAAUCCUAGCAAUAGAAAACAAAGGUGUGAAGACGAUGAGGAAGUGGCGGUCAGCGGUCUUCUCCUCCGAGUCCUAAAUCCUGAUAUUCUUUCGCAGACCUUGCAUUCGGUGGAAAGGAACGGAUUUGGAUACUCAUACUAGCUAUUACUUCAUUCGGUGGGCUGGGCUGUGCUGUGCCUCAAGUCCAAUUACUAUUAACUAGG